Long non-coding RNA from Oreochromis niloticus (Nile tilapia), 1804 nucleotides. The record is from Ensembl. NCBI's taxonomy places the organism in Eukaryota, Metazoa, Chordata, Actinopteri, Cichliformes, Cichlidae.
GACUGCAAUUUGCUAAUAAAAAAAUUAAAACUUCAAUAAAAAUACCACAUCUGGUAAAAGUGACAUGAUUGUGAUUAGUAAACCUGUGAUCCAUCCCAGUGCAUACUUCUGUAUCGAUUAUUUCCACUUUGAAAAGUUUCCUGUUCGUGCUCUUUCUUUGCAGUUAAAGAGAAACAUGAGAGACACAUUCUAGUAUUAGAAUCUCUUUUCCUGAAGGACGGACUGCUCUUGAAUUGUCCAAAUUUGUCAUAAAACUAAUUCAUUAUUCUGAGGUUACCUUUCAUUCUGCAAAUCGUGCAAGACAACAUUAGCUCUGAUCUUAGCAAAACAGCAACUAACCACUUCCUUUUUUUAUCAGCAGCUCCUCGUCAGAAACAUAAAGUUGGGGGUGAAGAUGAGGCCUGUUUCACUCUCUCACUGUCGGCCAUGAUAUUACAACUGAACCAAACAGCGCUGCUCUUCAUUCAGCUGUUAGUGAUGCUGCGUGUCUUUGCAGUGAAGCUUGAAGAAAACAACAGAGUUAUGUUGGCAUUCAGAGGAGAUCCAGUGACGCUGACUUGUAACAUAUCUGAAAAAAAUGCAACACAAAUCUCCUGGACAAACGGCAGAUCUGUUUUUCAAUAUUCUAUCCAGCUGAAUCGCACUUUUUCAAAUUUUUCAUCUAACAGACUAAAAAUAAAUCCCGAGUUACCUACAAAUCUGAUUAUUUUUAGUGCUCAACCAGAGGAUGAAGGACUUUAUACAUGUAGCAUAACUGGCCUAGAUGGCCUACACACCAUUACAUGGAAUUUAACUGUGUCUGGGAACCCAGAAGAAUCGAUUUCAUCAAAGUAUUUUACAUUCAUACUUCCAUCUGCAAUUGGAUUCCUUCUGUGUGGCAUCACACUGGCUGUCUUCUUCUACAGAAAAAUGAUGAUGAGGACACUGAAUCAGGAUCCAGUCCAGGAUCAGUUUCCCCCUCAUUCAGGAGAAGAGGCAGCACACUCACAACCACAGGGUGGCACUGCUCUUUGUACAAACAACAAACGGAGCAGUCAGCAUAUGGAGAGGCUCAAUUUAAUCUACGGUCACUUCUGAGCUGAUGAUUCUUCCAGUUACACAGAGACAUGGACGUUUUUCAACUUCAGAGGGACGACAACAAGGCUACUAUUGCCUCUUCAGCUCAGAAACACAGCUCUGGCUGUGAGCACAGCCAACCACUUCCAUUCAAUCCCUCUGUUCACAAGGAGCAGCCAGCUAGAAGAAAGUUUGAAUUCAAGGACUGGAAAAAAGAACUAAACAUCUUGUUUCAGAGACAGAAUGAACAUUGUUAAAUAAGUUUUCAGUGCAGUAAAAACUUAUUCAGGAACAUUGUACAUUUAUGUAUUUAAACAGUUAUAAUGGUUACUGCAAUUUAAUAAAAUAAUAAAAUAUAUUCACAAUCCCCUUAUAUCAUUUCCUAAAUCCCUGUAUUUUGUCAAUGCAGCCAACAGGGGUGAACGUGGUUCAGGGGGUUGGGAAGCUCAUCUGGUAACCAAAAGCUCAUCUUGUCAGUCUGCCCCAGGGCAGCUGUGGCUACAACUGUAGUUUGCCUCCACCAGUGUGUGAAUGUGAGAGUGAAUGAAUAGUGGAGUUGUAAAUCAAUUUGAGGGUCUCGAAAAGCGCUAUACAAAUGCAAUCCAUUAUUAUUAAUAGUCGUAAGGAAAAUACCUCAAACAUUUUUAUCACCUUCACCUUUAGAUCAGUGUUUUGAGGUCAGAUGUACUUUCUAUAUGUUCGCAAUGCAUACCACAAGAAAUCAUCAUCAAAGUUAGAAGUUUUUUUC